RNAcentral lists this ribosomal RNA (478 nucleotides) under uncultured bacterium. Its description in RNAcentral is "partial 16S ribosomal RNA". It matches the Rfam family "Bacterial small subunit ribosomal RNA", at positions 28 to 523 of the family's 1533-position model. The record is from RNAcentral.
GACGAACGCUGGCGGCAUGCCUAACACAUGCAAGUCGAGCGAGUAGAUCCCUUCGGGGUGAAGCUAGCGGCGGACGGGUGAGUAACACGUGGGCAACCUGCCUCAUAGAGGGGAAUAGCCUUCCGAAAGGAAGAUUAAUACCGCAUAAGAUUGUAGUACCGCAUGGUAUAGCAAUUAAAGGAGCAAUCCGCUAUGAGAUGGGCCCGCGGCGCAUUAGCUAGUUGGUGAGGUAACGGCUCACCAAGGCGACGAUGCGUAGCCGACCUGAGAGGGUGAUCGGCCACAUUGGGACUGAGACACGGCCCAGACUCCUACGGGAGGCAGCAGUGGGGAAUAUUGCACAAUGGGGGAAACCCUGAUGCAGCAAUGCCGCGUGAGUGAUGACGGCCUUCGGGUUGUAAAGCUCUGUCUUCGGGGACGAUAAUGACGGUACCCGAGGAGGAAGCCACGGCUAACUACGUGCCAGCAGCCGCCGUAA